This 484-nucleotide ribosomal RNA is filed under the name uncultured bacterium. Its description in RNAcentral is "partial 16S ribosomal RNA". It matches the Rfam family "Bacterial small subunit ribosomal RNA", at positions 28 to 507 of the family's 1533-position model. The record is from RNAcentral.
GACGAACGCUGGCGGCGUGCUUAACACAUGCAAGUCGAACGGAAAGGCCCUGCUUGCAGGGUACUCGAGUGGCGAACGGGUGAGUAACACGUGGGUGAUCUGCCCUGCACUUCGGGAUAAGCCUGGGAAACUGGGUCUAAUACCGGAUAGGAGCCAUUUUUACUGUGAUGGUUGGAAAGUUUUUUCGGUGUAGGAUGAGCUCGCGGCCUAUCAGCUUGUUGGUGGGGUAAUGGCCUACCAAGGCGGCGACGGGUAGCCGGCCUGAGAGGGUGGACGGCCACAUUGGGACUGAGAUACGGCCCAGACUCCUACGGGAGGCAGCAGUAGGGAAUCUUCCGCAAUGGGCGAAAGCCUGACGGAGCAACGCCGCGUGAGUGAUGAAGGUCUUCGGAUCGUAAAACUCUGUUAUUAGGGAAGAACAUAUGUGUAAGUAACUGUGCACAUCUUGACGGUACCUAAUCAGAAAGCCACGGCUAACUACGUG